RNAcentral lists this ribosomal RNA (116 nucleotides) under Acinetobacter baumannii. Its description in RNAcentral is "partial 16S ribosomal RNA". It matches the Rfam family "Bacterial small subunit ribosomal RNA", at positions 1 to 115 of the family's 1533-position model. Lineage: Bacteria; Pseudomonadati; Pseudomonadota; Gammaproteobacteria; Moraxellales; Moraxellaceae. The record is from RNAcentral. RNAcentral also lists the same sequence under 1 other name.
UAACUGAAGAGUUUGAUCAUGGCUCAGAUUGAACGCUGGCGGCAGGCUUAACACAUGCAAGUCGAGCGGGGGAAGGUAGCUUGCUACCGGACCUAGCGGCGGACGGGUGAGUAAUG